UGGGGAAUAUUGCGCAAUGGAGGAAACUCUGACGCAGCAACGCCGCGUGAAGGAUGAAGGCUUUCGGGUUGUAAACUUCUUUGAUCGGGGACGAAGAUGACGGUACCCGAGGAACAAGCCACGGCUAACUACGUGCCAGCAGCCGCGGUAACACGUAGGAGGCAAACGUUAUCCGGAUUUACUGGGCGUAAAGCGCGUGUAGGUGGUACUGUAAGUAGGGCGUGAAAGCUCCUGGCUCAACUGGGAGAGGCCGUUCUAAACUGCAGCACUCGAGUUUGGUAGAGGAAGAUGGAAUUCCAGGUGUAGCGGUAAAAUGCGCAGAUAUCUGGAGGAACACCAGUGGCGAAAGCGGUCUUCUAGACCAAUACUGACACUCAGACGCGAAAGCUAGGGUAGCAAACGGG
Molecule: ribosomal RNA, 404 nt
Filed under: uncultured prokaryote
Description: bacterial SSU rRNA
Rfam family: Bacterial small subunit ribosomal RNA
Source: RNAcentral